The sequence is a regulatory RNA element, 38 nucleotides long. It matches the Rfam family "Ribosomal protein L19 leader". From Rfam's summary of the family: This family is a putative r-protein leader autoregulatory structure found in B. subtilis and other low-GC Gram-positive bacteria. It is located in the 5' untranslated regions of mRNAs encoding ribosomal protein L19 (rplS). The record is from Rfam.
ACGAUAUUCCGCUGCUGCAGUGUUGGCAUGAAUGUCUG